Molecule: long non-coding RNA, 2750 nt
Organism: Erinaceus europaeus (western European hedgehog)
Lineage: Eukaryota; Metazoa; Chordata; Mammalia; Eulipotyphla; Erinaceidae
Exons: 23
Source: RefSeq, a predicted model, not a curated record
CAAGGAGCUCUUAAAGGGGAAGGACUUGGGGGCUCACGGCGGUGGGCAUAGGCAAGAAGGAAACUUCUGUCCAUUUUAAUCGGAAUGAUUCUCCAGGAUGUAAAAAUUAAUUGGCUCUGACUUGGUUGGACCGGACUGGAUCUCACCACCUCUGCGCUUCUGUGAGUCACUGGCAGAAAGAGGCAGUGGACAGUUGGCCAAGUUUUGACAGUGCUUCAAUUGAGGUUUGAAGACUUCUUGGGAGGCACUGUUUAGUAUGUCAUAAAAGGGUUGUUGGGAUCUUGAUUGGAAUUGGAGUUCAGCGCCCUCUAGAAGAGCCAAUCCUUACUCUUUGGAGCUACGCCCUCACUGAUGUAUACAGUGAAGCCUGCUUAGCAUCAUGGUUGUAGUUGGAUACAGGAUGAGAGACAGAGAGCAGUGAAGAGACAGCACGACAGCUGCCCCUCCUGAGAAGCUCCCAUGUUUCCCUGUCUGGCCAAGGGCUCAAGCGAGAAAGUGCGCCUUCUACCCAGUCAGGUGGAGAUUUUAACUAGAAUGCUCCCUAAGUGAACUUUACCAUUCAAGGGACUCCUCUCAAAUGAAAAGGGACUUCAAAACAGACCACUGGGACAAAUCAAUUUCCUUACAGAAUGACAAAGAAGAUACUUACCAAAAUAAAAAUAAAAUAAAAACAAAUGAUGAUUGAGUCCCAACAUUGAGUUAAGAAGGAAGAGAAAAGGAGAGACAGAGAAGAGAGACACCAUUUCACCACCGGAGUUCCCAGGGUUUGAAUCCAGGACCUAGAGGAUUGGAUGAUGUUCUCUCAUGAAUGGAGCACAUGCUAACACAGGUUCGCCAGCUGUCUGCACCCAGUUAACUAAAGUUUGCGAAUUGAAAAAAAAAAUUCCCAGGUAUAAAUCCCAGAAGAUUUCUUUCAUCCUCUCUGCUCUGGGACCUUGCAAGGAGACGGGGAUAGCAAGGUUUUCAUCAGGAUGUUUGGCAUCAUGUACAGAAAGGUUAGUUGAACAAACUGAAGACUUGGAGGAAAACCAGCUGACAUAUUUAAGCAUGGACUCUCUCAGGGGUGCAGAUUCAUAGACCAGUGAACUGAAAAAAGGGAAGUGACGACUAUUUCUCCUGCCACAUGCGCUUAACCCACUUAACCUGCUGUGCUAGCGCCCAACAAUCUUGAGUAAAGGCUGUUUCUCACACCGCAGAAGAGCAGCACCACAGAAUUCUGCUUCACAGAAACAACUAGAGACCCUGAAGCAAAGCAAACUAGGGACACACCUCAGACGCAAGACUUUGUAACUGAAGGAGUCGGAGCAACAACGAUUAGGAUCCUGGCUUCAUUUAGUUCACAAAAAAACGCCUGCUCAGCCUGGAGAAACCCUAGAGCCCUAAUAUACAGACUUGACAGCCUGCAUCUACCAAUGAAGAGUAUUUCCUAAAGAACUUGGGUUUUCCUGGGAGAAUUAUGAAGAGCUACAAAGCUGAGAUUUGGAGUUUCUACAAAUCACAGCUGCGAUGGUCAGAGGUCAUUUGGGUGGACUACAUUCAUACCCCAGAUACCCUUGCAGGCACAGUGUUCUUUCUCCUCCUAUCUGGAAGCUACCUGCAGCCAGUCCUUCACAAGCAGGCAAUAUACUCAUAAAAUAUAUAGCAGCCAACUAUGUGCCUGGACAUUAUGAGAUAAAAAUCACUAUCGUGGUCUGGCUCCUUUCUUGAGUGGAUCUAUAACUAAUUUCUGCAAAGACUGUGCAUCUAAAUCUGGAUCCCAAACAUCUGGCAGACUUCCUCUGUUAAGCACUAGAUAUCCAGAAGAAAGCCUCUUCGAUAAAGUUAUAGUUCUGUUUGUGGAGCCAUGAGCGCAGGCAACAUAAUGAGGAAAUGCUGACUUGCAGGAAGUUCAAACUGGAUGAGGAAAAGGUGUUUUGCUAUUUUGGCUUCAUGGAUGAGAAGACUGCAGUGAAGCAAAGAGGACAGUUUUCAGCUCUUGAAGAGACCUGUUGGGAUAAACACAUUGAAGAUAAUAGCGUGAGGGCAGGACAAAAGCAGCAGCAUUGUGAAAAUGCCUUCAACCUGAAACAUUCUGACGGAACUAUGCAUGAACAAUGGACCCAAACUGCCUCGUGUGGGUGGAAGAGGAACUGGUCGACCACCGGCGUCCUCUCUGUUCACAGUCAGAAAGAUACCUUCCCUCAGCAAAGUCCAUCAGUUAAUAUUAACAAGGAGAAAGGGAAAGCAUAACUUGGCAGGAAGCUUGGAAUUUCCCCCAGACUCGAGUCAAGAGAUCAUCCAGGAAGGAGUCUAGCUGUAACGCACACCUCUCUUCCUCCGAUGAGAAUGACAAGUGGGGGUGACAAGGCCUGCUCUCCUUUGGCAAACAAACACCCACUCUGAGACUCAUCAGUCUGGACUGACUUUUUUGAGAAACAGAGAAGAAAGACACUAAGCUUCCCACAAUGCACCAGGGGACUGACUUGAACCUCCCUGCGUGCAUGGAAAAAUAGGGCCACUGUGCACGACUUUCUGCAAUGAAAAUAAAGAACUAAGGGCCGUAAGGUGGCACCAGGCUGAGCACAAACAUCACCAUGGACAAGGACCUUGGCUUUAGCCCCCUGGACCCCACCUGUAGCCGGGAAGCUUCACAGGACUCAUGCUACAGGCAGGCCAAGCAAGACCUUCCAACUCCCCUCAGGCAAUGACUUCUCAAUGUUUGUGGGUUGAGGUUGCCAAGCUCCAGGUCACCUGGAGGACCUGCACAUUCU